Molecule: non-coding RNA, 1702 nt
Organism: Heterocephalus glaber (naked mole-rat)
Lineage: Eukaryota; Metazoa; Chordata; Mammalia; Rodentia; Bathyergidae
Source: RefSeq, a predicted model, not a curated record
AGCCUGCAGAGUGGAGGAAAUUAACAGGCGUUAGAGAACAAGUGAAUAGAAAAUGUACAGUAAAAACGGAAUGCAGGUCCUUGUGCUUGCGAGGCAUGCGGCAGAACCACUGAGCUAAAUCCCUAGCUCCAUACCCGAACUAAGCUUCACAGAGCUGUCCCUGCAUGAUGUUCCAGAGCUCCUGCAUGGAUGGAAUCUGCACUGGAGACUUAGCAACCACUUAGCAAUGGACACUAGGUGCCCAGACAUUCUGCAGCUUCUGGUUUGUUUUGUUUUGUUAUUUUUGCAGACCAGGGAUUGAACCUAGGACCUUAACACUGCACUACAUCCCAGUUCUUUUUUAUUCUAAGACAGGAUCUCAGGAAAUUGCUAAGUUGCCCAGGCUGGGCUUGAACUCUCAAUCCUUCUCCUCAGCCUCCUACUGUGUGGAAUCACAGGUGGGCACACACACACCAGUCCCCUGUGGUUCUGUGUGUGCACUGUGGUGGUAAACCUCAGGUCCACAGACUGUUAUCUUUGUCAACGUCCAGAACAUUCUUGGUCUCCUCGAAGGUCCGGCCCGGAGGCCUGGGAUCAGGGCCCGCGACCUUGUGCCCCUUCUAAGUGAUCUGCAUGUAUUCUAUGAUCUGUUCCUUCUGUUAGCUUGUGUGCAAAUGAGGAAACUGAGGCACAGAGAAACUGAACCAUGUGCCCAGCCAAAAUUAUACACCCGGAGUGUAGACCGGGCCUGCAGCUCAGUGGCCGGAAGCCAGGACCAGGGCCUCCCACACCCGGGGGCCAGACCCUGCCUAGCCGAUCUUGAGGGAGGUGCGGCCCAGACUCCCUUGCAGGCUUCUGGGCUCCAUGGGCUGGGCCCGUCCUGGUCCCGAGGGUGGAAAUUCUACAGCCUGAACCGCUCAGCACAGCCUGCGCCCUGCACCGGGCUGCCCCACGCCCCGUGGUCCCCAGGACUCACCCAGGUGGCGGAUGUGCCACAGGGGGCUGAUGGUGGAGUGUCUCCCGUGGAACACGAUCAGCAUGGGUGACGUAGCCACGCCGCCCCCCAGGGAGCUGCUGUACAGGUUUUCCCUGCAGAUGGGAGAGAGAGCCUUUGGCUCUGAGCGCCCCCAGGCUCACAGAAAGCACCUAACAGUUCUUUCAAAAGACGUAAGACAUUGUUUGUACAGUCGAACUUUGGGCCUUUCAUUUUUCCAAAAUUCUUACUUUGAAAAUUGUCAAGCCAGGUGUGGUGGUGCAUACCUGUGAUCUCAGCACUUAGGCUGAGGCAGGAGGAUUGCCUGGAGUUCAAGGCCAGACUGAACAACUUACCGAGAUCCUGUCUCAAAAGAAAAAAAAAAAAUCGUCUAACUGUGGACUCCCAUAGAUACCUCUUAGAGUCACAAUGUUAAUAUUUUGGUAAUUUAACUCUCAGGCUUUUUUCUGUGGUAGACGUGGAAGAUCAAAUUAUGAUCCUGCAGGGCCGGGGAUGUAGCUUAGUGGUUCUGCCGCCUGCCUCACAAGCGCAAGGUCCCGAGUUCGAUCCCUGGUACCAAAAAAACAAAGUUAUGAUCCUGCAUUAUUUGGAAUAGCUUUCCUUAAAAUUCAAGAUUAUGAUGGUAUCAGAAUAUCCAGAUAGGAAAGAUCAAUAGGAAAUACAAUGACGUGAUAGUCAUGGUUGUAUUAGUUAUUUUAUGUUCUUUUUUAAAACUUUCAGAAUGAAAAA